This 406-nucleotide ribosomal RNA is filed under the name uncultured bacterium. RNAcentral describes it as "partial 16S ribosomal RNA". It matches the Rfam family "Bacterial small subunit ribosomal RNA", at positions 30 to 526 of the family's 1533-position model. The record is from RNAcentral.
AUUGAACGCUGGCGGCAGGCCUAACACAUGCAAGUCGAACGAGUGGCGGACGGGUGAGUAAUGUCUGGGAAACUGCCUGAUGGAGGGGGAUAACUACUGGAAACGGUAGCUAUUACCGCAUACCAUCAGAUGUGCCCAGAGGGGAUUAGCUAGUUGGUGGGGGAACGGCUCACCAAGGCGACGAUCCCUGGCUGGUCUGAGAGGAUGACCAGCCACACUGGAACUGAGACAAUGUCCAGACUCCUACGGGAGGCAGAAGGGGGGAAUAUUGCACAAGGGGCGCAAGCCUGAUGCAGCCAUGCCGCGUGUAUGAAGAAGGCCUUCGGGUUGUAAAGUACUUUCAGCGGGGAGGCGUUACCCGCAGAAGAAGCACCGGCUAACUCCGUGCCAGCCGCCGCGGUAAUAC